RNAcentral lists this long non-coding RNA (641 nucleotides) under Salvia miltiorrhiza (redroot sage). Its description in RNAcentral is "long non-coding RNA (SMIL_LNC000732)". Lineage: Eukaryota; Viridiplantae; Streptophyta; Magnoliopsida; Lamiales; Lamiaceae. The record is from RNAcentral.
UAAAACGCAAAAAAAAUUGAAAUUUUAUUAAGAAAAGGAAAAGAAAACAAAAAACCAAACACACUUGAAGUCACAGAUCGUAGCAAACAACCACAACUUGCACAAAGGCUUCAACCCAAACCAUUAGUACAUCAAAUUUACUGCGCGCGCCAAGUGAUCGACGGAAGGCCUUAAUGAAAAUUUUCCAAUAACCUCAACACUCUUCAAAUAAACGACCCAGCUCAGCGACAAAGCCUCCGAAUCAACCACACCAUCCCCAGCGCCACCCAUCUCAUGACGAACUCAUAAUGAACAGAACGAGAGUGAUGAACUUACGUUGCUAAACAAGUGCUCCGAAGAUAAACCUCCGACGUCAAGCUUCGUUGGUGCGGGUGAAGAUGAGGAGAGAGGGGGUCGGUCUGCUGAUUUUUGGAACCUCGAUUCACGCCUAAUGAAUCGUGAUCGCCGGCGAGAUGGAUAAUUGAGGUGGCUGUGAGAAAGAAGUACGAUGCGGCGGCGAGCGUAGAGAGAAAAGAAAAAAAGACGGAAGAAUAUGUGCCUAUCAAAAUAAUGAUAUUAUUAACAAUAAAAGGAAAUUAUUAAAUAAGUAAAAUACAAUAGAAUAGGAAUUAAGUUGGGAUAAAGAUUAGCGCUCAAGAAAG